This 504-nucleotide ribosomal RNA is filed under the name uncultured bacterium. RNAcentral describes it as "partial 16S ribosomal RNA". It matches the Rfam family "Bacterial small subunit ribosomal RNA", at positions 29 to 523 of the family's 1533-position model. The record is from RNAcentral.
AUUGAACGCUGGCGGCAGGCCUAACACAUGCAAGUCGAACGGUAGCACAGAGAGCUUGCUCUCGGGUGACGAGUGGCGGACGGGUGAGUAACGUCUGGGAAACUGCCCGAUGGAGGGAGAUAACUACUGGAAACGGUAGCUAAUACCGCAUAACGUCGCAAGACCAAAGUGGGGGACCUUCGGGCCUCACACCAUCGGAUGUGCCCAGAUGGGAUUAGCUAGUAGGUGGGGUAAUGGCUCACCUAGGCGACGAUCCCUAGCUGGUCUGAGAGGAUGACCAGCAACAAUGGAACUGAGACACGGUCCAGACUCCUACGGGAGGCAGCAGUGGGGAAUAUUGGACAAUGGGCGCAAGCCUGAUGCAGCCAUGCCGCGCGUAUGAAGAAGGCCUUCGGGUUGUAAAGUACUUUCAGCGGGGAGGAAGGCGGUGAAGUUAAUAGCUUCACCGAUUGACGUUACCCGCAGAAGAAGCACCGGCUAACUCCGUGCCAGCCGCCGCCGUAA